GGCUCCUUUCAAAGGUUUACACUUAUUUCAUGCCCUGCUAGGAUGCUGCCUGUGAAGGAAGCAUUUCCUGCUCAGCCUCAGUAGAGCUCCUCACAGGAGCUCUGUGAGGAGCAGGCUGCUCACAGCUCUCACCACUGCACCAAGAAAUUGAUGCGUGCAUCUCUCCAGCAGUUCUGGUAUAUACCCCUGCAGAAUCAGUUACCUCUACCUGGCAAAGAAUAUAGUAUCAUCCAGGAUUUGUCAGAAGAAUUACUGUGCUUGUCUCCAUGUAACUCCAAAAGCUCUACAAAUGCAUCUCAAACCAUCGUCUCGUACUGUAUAUACUGAUGGCCUGGCACCACCCUAUGGCAGCCGUCAGAAAUGCAGACGGAAGCUCUUCCAGAUGCAUGGAGAGAAACUAGCAACACAUAAACAUAUUAGAGAAAAGAAGCAGUGAGUGUUUUCUCAAAAACAAUCAGCAGGCAAUAAACACACUAAUGACAGAGGUUCACAGAAUUCACUGAGAAAAAUGGAAAAGACACAGAACAUGUUCUUCCUAUGAGGCUGCUUCAAUGGACCUUCCACAAGCAGAAGAAAAAACCAAGCAAGCAACCUUUUCCCUGGUCACAGAGCAGACAACUUCCUCACUUCUGGAACCCAGGACCCCAAACUUCCUUGACAUAUCUCCUGCACAUUGAAACAAAACAGCACAGGAAGGAAUAGCUGUUUAACCUCUCUCUCUACUGACAAUAAGCACAACAAACAUAUGGGAUGCAUCUGUGUGAGAACAUGCACAAUGGAAUUAGAACAAAGACAGUUCCCCUAUCUGAUUUUUCCAACUUUUUUUUUUUUUUUUUUUUUUUUUUUUUAAUGCUAACAAGCAGUGCUUAUGUAGCCUUGAAGACUUAAAAACCAAGGGAAACCAUCCAAAAAAUCUACCAGGAAAAAACACUGUGUGUUAUGUGUAUCUUGCCCUCCACACCCUGGAGCUCUUACAGCAAAAUGUGAUGCUGUAUUUCCUUUAGCCCCAGGAAAAGGGCACUGAGAGAGUCACAGAGGUUCAACUUGGGAAUCCUCCACUCAGAAUUCUCCAGGUUACUGGCCUGGGCUGGGCUGUGAACAGCUUGGCUUUAUCACACUUUCUUUUCUCGA
Vidua chalybeata is the source of this 1131-nucleotide long non-coding RNA. RefSeq lists it as uncharacterized. The record is from RefSeq and is a predicted model, not a curated record. The transcript is spliced from 6 exons. Lineage: Eukaryota; Metazoa; Chordata; Aves; Passeriformes; Viduidae.